UUCUACAACUGAUUUAGGCUUAUAUUUUCAACCCAUACAUGCCAAACUUAAAGCACAAAGACUGAUAUGAAACACAGACUUGCCGACAAAUCAUCAACAUUCAAACAAUAGCUAUCUCAAACCAAUUACAGAGAGCUCCAAGACAAUAUUGUUGCAUAUCCUAAUAUUUUUUCUUCAAAAGAGAAGCAGCCUUAGCUUCUGUGAACCCAAGAAGCUGAAAUUAGUAAGGUAUCAUCCACACAAGUCACUGAGGCAGUCUUUGGCAGAUGUUUUUUGCACCCUUGUUAACAUUCUCUGCGUGUGCAUUCAAGCAUAAAAUUCUGAAAUUCCCAAGCAUCCCAUGAUUACUGCAAUUCUGAAGCCCCCACUGUAAAAAAAAAAUACAAAUCAAUACAAAAAUAUAGAUAUACAAGUAAUGUUCCGGUGAAUCACUAAAAGAUAUACAAAAAUAUCAAUAUACAAGUAAUAUGAAAAUCUCAGUUGCACCUGUGGGUGAAUCACUAUCAUCACCUACACUUGGAUCCUGGGUAGCAUCAUCAUUUGAUGCUCCAGAUCUACAUUUAAACAGAUAGCAAAGUCAAAUUUAAACAAAUAGCAAAAUCAAUUUUAAAUAAAUAGCAAAGUCAAAAUAAGUAAACAUGCUUACCGAUUAUUAAGCACCGGACAGUUUCUUUUAUCGUGUGUCGCACCAACUUUGCCACAUCCAUGACAACAUCUACCCUUGGGAUUUUUUGUUUUCUCCAAAGCCCUUUCUUUGCCACCCUUCAGCCUUUUGUCACACCCUCUUGCUCGCACUUGGUUCGACUCGAUGUAACUAUGUUCACAAGUAGAAGUCAUGUUAACCGACUUGGAUACACUCAUUCCACCACACUCCAUUUCAUUGUUUCUUUUGGAAUCAUUAUUUCCAAUAAUUUGUUUGAUCUUUUUAUCCGCAUUACCUAAACAUUCAUUUAAAAUAUUUAUGGCUUCUUCAUUUGUGAGCGCUCUAUCAAUCAAAUCUAAAGAAUGUUGAAUCAAUCGACUCCGCAAGAGUAAGUAUGACUUGUCAUCUUUUAUCAUCACACCAUUAUCAUCAAUUACACCACUUGAUUUUGUUGUCUUUGUCCACCUCUUCAAAAUGUAUUUUGUAGGCAAUUCGUCAAGAUCAUGAUACUUAUUCAAGUAAGCUAUCACAUGCCGACAUAGGAUUCCCAAACUCUCAAACUUUUUACAAGUGCAUGUUGCAUAAUCCAAAGAUUUGUCAUUAUGAAUUUCUCUCACUUUAAAAUUGUUGACAUUCCUUCGGUAAAUCUUAUAUAUGUUGUAGUUCACAUCCUCCUUCAUAAGUUCAAACCUAUAAUUCAAGCUCUCACACAACUCAUUUUCAAAUUUAUAAUAUAUAGUGUGUAUAAAUGUCAACCAUUUGAAAUACAAAGACAUGGCUAAUUUUCAUUUUCGGCCUCUCAAUCAAAUCUUUGUUAUCCGAGGCCAACUCUACAUGUUGUUGAUGUUGAAGACCCCGAUCAAAUUGAAUCAUAAAAUCCACUAAAGAAUUUCUUUUAGAAACAAAUUUUUUUAAAAAUGAAUGAGAACCCAUUGCCCGUUGGCUACUUGAUAUGCCGGCUGAGAAAACAUGAUUCACAUGUGCGGGUACCCAUCUACAACGCAUGUCAUACAUUGAUUGUAGCCAUUUAUUAGCAUUCAACCCACUUUUCUCCACCAGCUCCACCCAAGUGGAGUCAAACUCUUCCACAGUCUCCGAAUUCCAAAUGCAAUUUGAAAAAUCUUUAUAAUAAGCACUGAAUUUUCCUGACAAUUUGGUCAAAAUGUGCCAACUACAAUACCUAUGAAAUGUAUUAGGAAGGAUCUGUGAAAUGGCAUUUGUCAUAGCCGGAUCUUGAUCGGUGAUAAUCAUCUUAGGUGCAUCACCUGGCAUCGCUUCCAAAAAACACUUGAAAAGCCAAACAAAAGUAUCUAUGGUCUCAUCACUUAAGAAAGCACAACCAAAUAUAAUAGUUUGGCCAUGGUUAUUAACCCCCAUUAGUGGUGCAAAUAUCAUUCCGUAACGAUUAGUAUUGUAUGUGGUAUCAAAAAUGACAACAUCACCGUAAAAUCUAUAAGCCCGUCUAGAAGUUGCAUCGGCCCAAAAACAACGAGCAAUCCUUUUUUCAUUGUUUAUGUCAAUUGUAAAAGUGAAUGACGGAUUCUUUUGUUGUUCUAACUUCAAGUACUCAUUCAACAUAUCGCCAUCAUGUCCCUUCAACUCAUUACGCUCGUCUCUUUUAAAGUUAUACAAAUCUCGUUGUGGGGUUGACAAUGGGUGACAAUGGUCCUCCUCAAUUAUAGUAACUACGUAUAAGUCAUUUCUUUUUACCACUACAAUUCUUGCACUACAACCUUCUUUUGUAGAUCCACGUUUUCUUUUUACAUCCAUAUCGGCUAAUAGUUUGCCCUUUCCUUGCUUAUAACACACAUACUCCUUCCUAUGAUUCUCAUCACUUCCCACCCUUUUUUUCUCAUUAAAGUUUCGCACACUAAAACCAGCAUGCAUUGCAUAUGUAUUGUAAAAAGUGUAAACAUCAUCCAAUGUUAGAAAUUCUUGACCUAACUUAGGCGUAAACCCAUCUGUUACUUGAGGAUGGUAGACAAAAGUUUUAGCAUUGUUCACAUCCAACCCCUCUAAAUCCAUUUCUGCAUUUUCCCUACAACUCCCUAUUUCAUGGUCCACGUCAUCCAUUUGUAAUAAACCUGAAAAUAAUGUAUGUAUGCACAACCAAUUUAAUACUGAGCAAUUCAAUAAUGUAUGUAUGCACAACCAAUUUAUGAUGGUUUGUUAUAAAGCAAGAAUUGGAUAUGGAACCUAGGGAAUGGGGAGUCUAUCAGAUUCUGGUAUGAUAUAUGGACAGGGGCUAUUGCAUUAAAAGAGCAAUUUCCAAGACUGUUUAGACGAACAGAGGAGAAGAAAACCAUUGUUGCUCAUGUUUUAAGAAAAGAAAGGGAUAGUAUUAUUGUUGAUGCUUUAGAGAAUUUAGCCAAUAUGAGAUAGAAUGGCUUUGAAAAGGAAACUUUUAAUGUUGAAUCCUUUAUUUUCCAUCCAAAUCUGCAGAAGCCAAACACAGCUACACUAAGUUUGAAAAGGAUUUUUUUUAAGUGGUCUUGGGGUGGGGGUGGGGGUUGAGCAAAUGAAUCAGCCAUAAAUUUCACAUUCUGAAAAUCUAGCCAUUNNNNNNNNNNNNNNNNNNNNNNNNNNNNNNNNNNNNNNNNNNNNNNNNNNNNNNNNNNNNNNNNNNNNNNNNNNNNNNNNNNNNNNNNNNNNNNNNNNNNACACAAAGUAUUUACUACUUUAAAAAGAAGUGCUAAACAGACACAGUCAAAUGAACUAUCCAGCUCUGUAGGCUCCAAGCACCAUCACAAUCAAGAAAAUUCCGAGUAACCCAAAAGUUAGAAACUUAAAGGUUAUACGCAGAUGAAUAGAGGGGGAAAUGGUUUACUAUUUUAAGAAGAAUACUGAAGCACCCCAAAAGCUAUAAAAAUCCAAUUCAGUAUGAACAAAAUCCAAAAAGGCAUAAUGAGUUGAAUCCAGACAAUCCGAUUCAGUAUGAACAAAAUCCAAAAAAUGCAAAGAGACAACAAGGGUAACAUAAAACCUAGAUAUCAUCCAAGGUCAAAACCCAAAAAGAGUAUCGAAAAAUUGCAGCAAAACUUCAUAAAUUACGGUUGCAAUGGCGGAAAAUAGUUAAGGGUUUACCGAAUGAAAGUCCAGAUUUGGGCGUUUGUCCUCUUAUUCCUCUGAUUCGUGUUGCUUGCUGGAGUUGGAAUCUAUUUUGGAGAGAAAUAGCAGAUAUACAGGCUACGUCGGAGAUAGUUUUGGAGAGAAAUAGAUAUGAUGGGUUUUGUUAAAUUGAAAAAAUAAAGAGUUGAGUCAUUUGCUAUUUGCUACUAUUUGAGUUUUU
RNAcentral lists this long non-coding RNA (3932 nucleotides) under Panax ginseng (ginseng). Its description in RNAcentral is "long non-coding RNA (PGIN_LNC017587)". Lineage: Eukaryota; Viridiplantae; Streptophyta; Magnoliopsida; Apiales; Araliaceae. The record is from RNAcentral.